Molecule: ribosomal RNA, 253 nt
Filed under: uncultured bacterium
Lineage: Bacteria
Description: partial 16S ribosomal RNA
Rfam family: Bacterial small subunit ribosomal RNA
Source: RNAcentral
UACGUAGGGGGCAAGCGUUGUCCGGAUUUAUUGGGCGUAAAGAGCGUGUAGGCGGCCAGGUAGGUCUGCUGUGAAAACUCGAGGCUCAACCUCGAGACGCCGAUGGAAACCAUGUGGCUAGAGUCCGGAAGAGGAGAGUGGAACUCCUGGUGUAGCGGUGGAAUGCGCAGAUAUCAGGAAGAACACCAACGGCGAAGGCAGCUCGCUGGGACGGUACUGACGCUGAGACGCGAAAGCGUGGGGAGCGAACAGG